Molecule: ribosomal RNA, 406 nt
Filed under: uncultured bacterium
Lineage: Bacteria
Description: partial 16S ribosomal RNA
Rfam family: Bacterial small subunit ribosomal RNA
Source: RNAcentral
AUUGAACGCUGGCGGCAGGCCUAACACAUGCAAGUCGAACGAGCGGCGGACGGGUGAGUAAUGUCUGGGAAACUGCCCGAUGGAGGGGGAUAACUACUGGAAACGGUAGCUAAUACCGCAUACCAUCGGAUGUGCCCAGAUGGGAUUCGCUGGUAGGAGGGGUAACGGCUCACCUAGGCGACGAUCCCUAGCUGGUCUGAGAGGAUGACCAGCCACACUGGGACUGAGAUACGGUCCAGACUCCUACGGGAGGCAGCAGUGGGGAAUAUUGCACAAUGGGCGCAAGCCUGAUGCAGCCAUGCCGCGUGUAUGAAGAAGGCCUUCGGGUUGUAAAGUACUUUCAGUGGGGAGGCGUUACUCACAGAAGAAGCACCGGCUAACUACGUGCCAGCAGCCGCGGUAAUAC